GGAAGGAAAAAGGGAGGUGGAGUCGCAAUAUAUUGCAAGGAGCACAUUCCAACGCAGUCCAGGCAAUAUAUACAAGAUGUGACUGAUCUGGAGUUUGUUCUAACUAAACUAGAUUCUCCAAUAAAAGCAGCAAUUGUAGCUGUGUAUAGGCCACCACAAUAUAAUGUUCAAGAUUUCUUGAACAACCUAAAGAGUGUGCUGGAUUAUAUGGACCUUGCACACGAUCUCACCAUCAUCUGUGGAGACUUCAAUGAGGACCUUCUACAAGCUGGAAGAAAACAACCUAUUUUGGAGUUUUUUGAAGCUCGAGGAUACACGCAACUAAUUGGAACAGCGACAACAGGAAAGCACACACUGCUUGACCACAUCUAUAUUUCAAAUCCGGACCUUUGCCUCCAAUCAGGUGUGUUACAGAGCUACCACAGUUACCACAAUCCUGUGUACUGUGUAUUGCGCUUUAUGUAGAUGAUUUUGUUGUUGUUGUUGUUGUUGUUGUUGUUGUUGUGUUUUGUAUAUUGCAGUGAUUGUCAUACGGAACCGGGGGCACUGAGCAUGCAUUAACGUUGCCAGUGGGGCUAGAACAGCCUUAGCCACCGGGUUGGCGCGUAUGGUUGUGUUUUGGUGUUAUGUCAUACGGAACCGGGGGCCCUGAGCAUGCCUUAACGGUGCCAGUGGGGCUAGAACAGCCUUAGCCACCGGGUUGGCGCGUAUGAUCGAGUUCUGGUGGGAUAUAUGGUCGUAGUGAGGUUUUAUGUUGCAGGGAAAGUAGAGCAGCAGCUACAGCAACACGAAGAAUGAAGAUAGGAGUAGACUGGCAGCUUCAGGAAGGACACUGGACAGUAGAGGCAGCAGCACCAACAACAGACAGUGAGAAUUAGUGCAGCAGCUCCAGGGAGGCAUUUCAGGAAGGGUUUAGACACACUAGCAGUCCUGUCCAAGACUGGAUGUGACUGCAACAUUGUCGAAAAAAGCUAAGUGUUUAAACAUUUACUGUACAAUCACUGUACUAUUGCACGAAACAACCACAUUUUUAGGAAGAUGCUAAUCUUAAUCUGUUUUUGGUUUUGACGUUUUUCAGCAAUUGUGAAGAUGAAGACCGAAAGCCUGAGAAGAUAAAGCGUGUAAAAACACGAUGAGAACCUGCACACCAGGAUCUGGAGAUAUCCAGCCUGUCUGACGAGUCCAAGACUUGAUCAACUUCCUUCAUCUUAUAAUUGGAUGACCAAAUUAAUCUUAUUUAGGCCAUAUUGCAUAAUUUGUUUAUUAUUCUAAAUAUUAAGAAGGUAAAAUGAAUGUAAUGUAAUGUGAGGAUUGUCAGGUUUGGUGGGGCGAGAUUUGACAACAGGUGCUUUUUGUACAUUUUUAAUAAACAUUUUAGG
Puntigrus tetrazona (Sumatra barb) is the source of this 1379-nucleotide long non-coding RNA. RefSeq lists it as uncharacterized. The record is from RefSeq and is a predicted model, not a curated record. NCBI's taxonomy places the organism in Eukaryota, Metazoa, Chordata, Actinopteri, Cypriniformes, Cyprinidae. The transcript has 3 exons.